UACGUAGGGGGCUAGCGUUGUCCGGAAUCAUUGGGCGUAAAGCGCGUGUAGGCGGUCCGGUAAGUCCGCUGUGAAAGUCGAGGGCUCAACCCUCGAAUGCCGGUGGAUACUGUCGGGCUUGAGUACGGGAGAGGCGAGUGGAAUUCCUGGUGUAGCGGUGAAAUGCGCAGAUAUCGGGAGGAACACCGGUGGCGAAGGCGGUUCUCUGGGCCUGUACUGACGCUGAGGAGCGAAAGCGUGGGGAGCGAACAGG
This 253-nucleotide ribosomal RNA is filed under the name uncultured bacterium. Its description in RNAcentral is "partial 16S ribosomal RNA". It matches the Rfam family "Bacterial small subunit ribosomal RNA", at positions 524 to 776 of the family's 1533-position model. The record is from RNAcentral.